This 301-nucleotide ribosomal RNA is filed under the name uncultured bacterium. RNAcentral's name for it is "partial 16S ribosomal RNA". It matches the Rfam family "Bacterial small subunit ribosomal RNA", at positions 509 to 808 of the family's 1533-position model. The record is from RNAcentral.
CAGUCGCCGCGGAAUACAGAGGGUGCAAGCGUUAAUCGGAAUUACUGGGCGUAAAGCGCGCGUAGGUGGUUUGUUAAGUUGGAUGUGAAAGCCCCGGGCUCAACCUGGGAACUGCAUCCAAAACUGGCAAGCUAGAGUACGGUAGAGGGUGGUGGAAUUUCCUGUGUAGCGGUGAAAUGCGUAGAUAUAGGAAGGAACACCAGUGGCGAAGGCGACCACCUGGACUGAUACUGACACUGAGGUGCGAAAGCGUGGGGAGCAAACAGGAUUAGAUACCCCCGUAGUCCCUGUCUCUUAUACA